UGGAAUUUGAGCAUGCAAAAGCAAGUGUUGUUGGUCUGGUUAGUAAGGUGAGACCCCCUUGAAUCUGGGUUUACUAAGGUCCAAAAUUUGAGCAUGCAAAAACAAGUGUUGUUGGUCUGGUUAGUAAGGUGGUACACUUUUUCUAUUUGAUAGAAAGGCUUUGAGGUACUUUAGAAAGUAUGGAUAUAAUUGGAGAAAGAAAAAGGAUGGAAAGACUGUGAAAGAAGCUCAUGAAAAGUUGAAGUUAAUUUCUCUUAAGCCACAGUGGUGUCUAGUGCAAAGUGGCCCUUACCCACUAUGUGAAGUUGCUGUGGCAGGAUGAUUUGGUACAGUGGCAGUUGCAGACCUAAUAGCAGGUUGAACGUGGCCUUAUCAGGUGCUAUAAUGUCACUGUUGAUUCCAUGAUCCAUAUGAACAGAUAAAUUAAGGCUAUUUAUGUUAUUUAAUUUCUGUGGAGGGAGGGGAUGCUAUUCCCCAAGGCUCAUGAGGUGUAUGUAUAUAUUUUGGGUUUAUGGGUUGGAUUCGAGCCAGUGGCCUGUGGCCAAUUGCUUGAAUGGGAAAGUGCUUGUGUUUGACCUAGUAUUACGAGUCAAAAGUUGCAUCUCUGCCUUAUGUUGAUAUAAACACUCUUGCCUAUAUCAU
Long non-coding RNA from Vigna angularis (adzuki bean), 642 nucleotides. RefSeq lists it as uncharacterized. NCBI's taxonomy places the organism in Eukaryota, Viridiplantae, Streptophyta, Magnoliopsida, Fabales, Fabaceae. The record is from RefSeq and is a predicted model, not a curated record. The transcript is spliced from 3 exons.